This 337-nucleotide ribosomal RNA is filed under the name uncultured bacterium. RNAcentral's name for it is "bacterial SSU rRNA". It matches the Rfam family "Bacterial small subunit ribosomal RNA", at positions 8 to 334 of the family's 1533-position model. The record is from RNAcentral.
AGGGUUUGAUCAUGGCUCAGGACGAACGCUGGCGGCGUGCCUAACACAUGCAAGUCGAGCGGGGAGACAGAGAAAGCUUGCUUUAGCUGUUUUCUAGCGGCGGACGGGUGAGUAACGCGUGAACAAUCUGUCCCGGACAGGGGGAUAACACUUGGAAACAGGUGCUAAUACCGCAUAAGACCACAUGCCCGCAUGGGCGAGGGGUAAAAGGAGCGAUCCGGUUUGGGGUGAGUUCGCGUCUGAUUAGCUAGUUGGCGAGGUAACGGCCCACCAAGGCGACGAUCAGUAGCCGACCUGAGAGGGUGAUCGGCCACACUGGAACUGAGAGACGGUCCAG